UGGGUUGUAGCUCAAUGGUAGAGCGCUUGCCUAUCACGUGUGGGGCACUGAGUUUGAUCCUCAGCACCACAU
Non-coding RNA from Ictidomys tridecemlineatus (thirteen-lined ground squirrel), 72 nucleotides. NCBI's taxonomy places the organism in Eukaryota, Metazoa, Chordata, Mammalia, Rodentia, Sciuridae. The record is from Rfam.